CAGCCGCCGCGGUAAUACGUAGGGUGCGAGCGUUAAUCGGAAUUACUGGGCGUAAAGCGUGCGCAGGUGGUUUUGUAAGUCAGAUGUGAAAUCCCCGGGCUCAACCUGGGAACUGCGUUUGAAACUACAAGGCUAGAGUGUGGCAGAGGGGGGUGGAAUUCCGCGUGUAGCAGUGAAAUGCGUAGAGAUGUGGAGGAACACCGAUGGCGAAGGCAGCCCCCUGGGUCAACACUGACGCUCAGGCACGAAAGCAUGGGGAGCAAACAGGAUUAGAUACCCUGGUAGUCCAUGCCCUAAACGAUGUCAACUAGUUGUCGGGCCUUAACGGGCUUGGUAACGUAGCUAACGCGUGAAGUUGACCGCCUGGGGAGUACGAUCGCAAGAUUAAAACUCAAAGGAAUUGACGGGGACCCGCACAAGCGGUGGAUUAUGUGGAUUAAUUCGAUGCAACGCGAAAAACCUUACCUACCCUUGACAUGUAUCGAAGCCCGCAGAAAAGUGGGUGUGCCCGAAAGGGAACGAUAACACAGGUGCUGCAUGGCUGUCGUCAGCUCGUGUCGUGAGAUGUUGGGUUAAGUCCCGCAACGAGCGCAACCCUUGUCAUUAAUUGCCAUCCUUUAGUUGGGCACUUUAAUGAGACUGCCGGUGACAAACCGGAGGAAGGUGGGGAUGACGUCAAGUCCUCAUGGCCCUUAUGGGUAGGGCUUCACACGUAAUACAAUGGCGCGUACAGAGGGUUGCCAACCCGCGAGGGGGAGCUAAUCUCAGAAAGCGCGUCGUAGUCCGGAUCGGAGUCUGCAACUCGACUCCGUGAAGUCGGAAUCGCUAGUAAUCGCGGAUCAGCAUGUCGCGGUGAAUACGUUCCCGGGUCUUGUACACACCGCCCGUCACACCAUGGGAGUGGGUUCCACCAGAAGCAGGUAGUCUAACCGCAAGGAGGGCGCUUGCCACGGUGAGAUUCAUGACUGGGGUGAAGUCGUAACAAGGUAACCGUA
Molecule: ribosomal RNA, 995 nt
Filed under: uncultured Nitrosovibrio sp.
Lineage: Bacteria; Pseudomonadati; Pseudomonadota; Betaproteobacteria; Nitrosomonadales; Nitrosomonadaceae
Description: bacterial SSU rRNA
Rfam family: Bacterial small subunit ribosomal RNA
Source: RNAcentral